CUCCAAAAGAAGGUGGAACAGGCAGCUCCUGCACUGGCAUAAGCCAACAAAGAGCUCUUUCUCCUGGGAUAUCUUAUGUCAGCCAAAGAACUGACUCAGUGGUAUACAGGUGAGCAGUGAAGAAGCAAACAUCCUCAUCUCCUGCUAUGACAGGAAAGAGGCAGCAAUACCCCACUGCACCUCCAAUUUCCAGUUAUCUGGGAGAGGAUUCAAAACCCUGCUGGAAUCUGUCCAAUCUGUGAGUAUCCAGACCCCAUGUUCUCCUUUCAGUGGCUAAAAUCUGAAUUCCUGACUGGAAGAGGAGAAAGAGACAGCAAGGAAAUUAAAGGAACUUUACAAAUAUUCCCUUGCAGGGUGGAUUUGCUCCCAUGGUAGCCCUGCAGUUUGUUCCUGAGCCUGGCCUGUCCUGGCUGGCAAUGUGAGAGGCUGACACAGUGCUCUCCACUGUUGGUGGCAUGGAAAUGACCUGAGCUGUGGGUCAAUGGUGCCAGCAUAGGUCUGACUCUGCAUGUGCACCAAUAUCCCCGUCCCCAGGGCAGCUCCCUGCACACAGCAUCUGCUCUGUUUCUCUCUCUGCAGAGAGAAAUGUAAUGGCAUGUUUGUGACUGCUGCACCCUUGCUGGAGUCUCAACAGCUCUGCUGGUGUCUGGGCUCCUGAGGGAAUAAACACAGAGGGGAAAAAGAGCCAAAGCACCAGGGGAAACGAGAAAGAAGACAGGGAGCUGCCAACAAAGGCUGUCUCCUGCCUGUUCAGACAAAGCUUGUCUCACUGCCAAAGUGGCAGAAAAAUGCUGCCCUGUAAAAGCAGGCAGGGAGAAAUAAAGCAAGAGGUGCCUCUCAUUGCUGGCUGGUCACUGGGGUCUGUGUGCCAAGGCUGGCCCUGCACACCAGGCUGCAUGGUUUUUGGCUCACUGCUGAGCCGGGACAGAGCGGAGCUUUGACGACAGUCCAGCAUUUUGGAGAAGAGCGGGGUGGCCAAGCAGAGGAGGAACCCAGCUGCAAGUCAGGAGACCCAGACUGAGCUACCAGCCCCGUGAUUCUGGAUGUGCUGUGUCCUUUCCCCAUUUAUUGCUGACAGCAUGAUAAAGUCUUUUGCAACAUCAAUCACCUUAAAACAAUAAAACCCAUAAAGCAGACCUAACGUAUUUCUUC
This 1152-nucleotide long non-coding RNA is filed under the name Cyanistes caeruleus (blue tit). Its description in RNAcentral is "lncRNA (ENSCCEG00000021081.1)". Lineage: Eukaryota; Metazoa; Chordata; Aves; Passeriformes; Paridae. The record is from RNAcentral.